UCUCCGUAGGUGAACCUGCGGAGGGAUCAUUGUUGAAUGGCCCUCGGGCCUUUGCCAUCAAACCCGUGGUAGCAAGAUGUGCUUCGAUGCCCCUGGGCAUCGCCCCAAUGCUUUAUAUGUGUCUGUCGUCUGAAAUGGAAUUGAGAAUUAAAACUUUCAACAAAGGAUCUCUUGGCUCUC
Molecule: unclassified non-coding RNA, 180 nt
Filed under: soil metagenome
Description: partial contains small subunit ribosomal RNA, internal transcribed spacer 1, and 5.8S ribosomal RNA
Source: RNAcentral